RNAcentral lists this ribosomal RNA (483 nucleotides) under uncultured bacterium. Its description in RNAcentral is "bacterial SSU rRNA". It matches the Rfam family "Bacterial small subunit ribosomal RNA", at positions 28 to 499 of the family's 1533-position model. The record is from RNAcentral.
GAUGAACGCUAGCGAUAGGCCUAACACAUGCAAGUCGAGGGGCAUCACAUGAAGUAGCAAUACGGAUGGUGGCGACCGGCGCACGGGUGAGUAACACGUAUGCAACCUGCCUUCAACAAGGGGAUAACCCGUUGAAAGACGGACUAAUACCCUAUAACACAGGGGUCCCGCAUGGGAAUAUUUGUUAAAGGACAACCGGUUGAAGAUGGGCAUGCGUUCCAUUAGCUAGUUGGCGGGGUAACGGCCCACCAAGGCAACGAUGGAUAGGGGAACUGAGAGGUUUAUCCCCCACACUGGUACUGAGACACGGACCAGACUCCUACGGGAGGCAGCAGUGAGGAAUAUUGGUCAAUGGACGCAAGUCUGAACCCAGCCACGUCGCGUGAAGGAAGACGGCCCUACGGGUUGUAAACUUCUUUUAUACGGGAAUAAAGUGCCCCACGCGUGGGGUUUUGCAUGUACCGUAUGAAUAAGGAUCGGCUA